GACGAACGCUGGCGGCGUGCUUAACACAUGCAAGUCGAACGCUGAAGCUCAGCUUUUGUUGGGUGGAUGAGUGGCGAACGGGUGAGUAACACGUGAGUAACCUGCCUCCUUCUUUGGGAUAACGCCCGGAAACGGGUGCUAAUACUGGAUAUUCACUGGUCUUCGCAUGGGGGGUGGUGGAAAGGGUUUUUCUGGUGGGUGAUGGGCUCGCGGCCUAUCAGCUUGUUGGUGGGGUGAUGGCCUACGAAGGCUUUGACGGGUAGCCGGCCGGGGAGGCUGACUGGGCGCGUGAGGGGCGAGAUAGGGACCAGGCUCCUACGGGAGGCAGCAGCGGGGAAAAUUGCACAGUGGGCGCAAGCCUGAUGCGGCGACGCCGCGUGCGGGAUGGAGGGCUGCAGGUUGUGAACCUGUUUGGCUAAUGGUCAAGCCGCAAAAAUAGUUGGGGUGAGGGUAGUGGGUAAAGAAGCGCCGGCUAACUACGUG
This 483-nucleotide ribosomal RNA is filed under the name uncultured bacterium. RNAcentral describes it as "partial 16S ribosomal RNA". It matches the Rfam family "Bacterial small subunit ribosomal RNA", at positions 28 to 507 of the family's 1533-position model. The record is from RNAcentral.